GUACGCUGGCGGCACGCCUUAUACAUGCAAGUCGAACGAAGUAGCAAUACUUAGUGGCAGACGGGUGAGUAACAUGUGGGUAUCUUCCCUUUGGUGAGGAAUAACACGAGGAAACUUGUGCUAAUACCUCAUAAGUCUUUACGGAGAAAGCUUUAUGCGCCAAUGGAUGAGCCUGCACUUGAUUAGUUAGUUGGUGGGGUAAUGGCCUACCAAGACUUUGAUCAAUAGCUGAUUUGAGAGGAUGAUCAGCCACAUUGGGACUGAGACACGGCCCAAACUCCUACGGGAGGCAGCAGUAAGGAAUCUUGCACAAUGGAGGAAACUCUGAUGCAGCGAUGCCGCGUGAGUGAAGAAGGCCCUUGGGUUGUAAAGCUCUUUCGUCGGGGAAGAAAAUGACUGUACCCGAAUAAGAAGGUCCGGCUAACUCGUGCC
This 432-nucleotide ribosomal RNA is filed under the name uncultured bacterium. Its description in RNAcentral is "bacterial SSU rRNA". It matches the Rfam family "Bacterial small subunit ribosomal RNA", at positions 31 to 509 of the family's 1533-position model. The record is from RNAcentral.